This 326-nucleotide unclassified non-coding RNA is filed under the name Salvia aucheri subsp. canescens x Salvia heldreichiana. Its description in RNAcentral is "partial external transcribed spacer". The record is from RNAcentral. Lineage: Eukaryota; Viridiplantae; Streptophyta; Magnoliopsida; Lamiales; Lamiaceae.
GUUGGCAUGAGCCWUGCUCGGCCGAUCUUUGGUUUUCCUGUGCUGAAUACCUAUCGUGAAGGCAUUCCGUUGGCUASAAAUGUCCCUUUCCCGCCUUGUGCUGCUGCCCCCCGYGGGCAAGCGGUGCGGGGUGGGCCAAAUUGCGCACGUCGUGUAUCGCACCGCGUUCGACCUCUCGGGGCGUUCGGGUUGACGACCCAUGACGUGAUGCUCGGUCCCUCGGAUACGGAAAAUCAUGUGGGUACGAGGCCAUYGGCCUCCGAGCUCCACAAAUAAGCGUUCUACGCUUCGUGCGAACGACUGUCGUCCCGGUCUUUGGCCGUGCU